RNAcentral lists this ribosomal RNA (556 nucleotides) under uncultured bacterium. RNAcentral's name for it is "partial 16S ribosomal RNA". It matches the Rfam family "Bacterial small subunit ribosomal RNA", at positions 355 to 900 of the family's 1533-position model. The record is from RNAcentral.
UAGGGAAUCUUCCACAAUGGACGCAAGUCUGAUGGAGCAACGCCGCGUGAGUGAAGAAGGUUUUCGGACCGUAAAGCUCUGUUGUUGGUGAAGAAGGAUAGAGGUAGUAACUGGCCCUUUAUUUGACGGUAAUCAACCAGAAAGUCACGGCUAACUACGUGCCAGCAGCCGCGGUAAUACGUAGGUGGCAAGCGUUGCCCGGAUUUAUUGGGCGUAAAGCGAGCGCAGGCGGAAGAAUAAGUCUGAUGUGAAAGCCCUCGGCUUAACCGAGGAAUUGCAUCGGAAACUGUUUUUCUUGAGUGCAGAAGAGGAGAGUAGAACUCCAUGUGUAGCGGUGGAAUGCGUAGAUAUAUGGAAGAAUACCAGUGGCGAAGGCGGCUCUCUGGUCUGCAACUGACGCUGAGGCUCGAAAGCAUGGGUAGCGAACAGGAUUAGAUACCCUGGUAGUCCAUGCCGUAAACGAUGAGUGCUAAGUGUUGGGAGGCUUCCGCCUCUCAGUGCUGCAGCUAACGCAUUAAGCACUCCGCCUGGGGGAGUACGACCGCAAGGUUGAAAC